AGAGUUUGAUGUUGGAUCAGGAUGAACGCUGGUUGCGUGCCUAAUACAUACAAUUCUAACGUGAGCCUUUUUUCCGAAAGGUGAACCUGCCUCAACGGGUGAGUAACACGUUGGUGACCUGCCCCGAACAGGGGGAUAACACCGCGAAAGCGGCGCUAAUACCGCGGAGGUCUGGAUUGUUAGAGGGUUCAGACUAAAGUUUUCUGACGGUUCGGGAGGGGCCUGCGGGCUAUCAGCUAGUUGGUGAGGUAAAGGCUCACCAAGGCGCAGACGGCUAGGGGGCGUGAGAGCGUGACCCCCCACAAGGGAACUGAGAGACGGUCCCUACUCCUACGGGAGGCAGCAGUGAGGAAUAUUGAGCAAUGGGCGCAUGCCUGACUCAGCAACGCCGCGUGGACGAUGACGGCCUUCGGGUUGUAAAGUCCUUUUCUGAGGGACGAUGAUGACGGUACCUCAGGAACAAGUCCCGGCUAACUACGUGCCAGCAGCCGCGGUAAAACGUAGGGGGCGAGCGUUAUCCGGAUUUACUGGGCGUAAAGCGCAUGUAGGCGGUGGGAUAAGUCAGCCGUGAAAGCUCCCGGCUUAACUGGGAGAGGUCGGUUGAAACUAUCCGACUGGAGGUUGGAAGAGGAUAGUGGAAUUCCCGGUGUAGUGGUGGAAUGCGUAGAUAUCGGGAGGAACACAGUGGCGAAAGCGGCUCUCUGGACCAAUUCUGACGCUGAGAUGCGAAAGCGUGGGGAGCAAACGGGAUUAGAUACCCCGGUAGUCCACGCUGUAAACGAUGGAGACUAGGUGUCGGCGGUCAUUUACCCCGUCGGUGCCGCAGCCAACGCGUUAAAGUCUCCCGCCUGGGGACUACGGCCGCAAGGUUAAAACUCAAAGGAAUUGACGGGGGCCCGCACAAGCAGCGGAGCGUGUGGUUUAAUUCGAUGAUACGCGAAGAACCUUACCUGGGUUUGACAUACCGGUAGUAGGAAAGCGAAAGCCGACCGACCCUUCGGGGAGCCGGAACAGGUGCUGCAUGGCUGUCGUCAGCUCGUGUCGUGAGAUGUUGGGUUAAGUCCCGCAACGAGGGCAACCCUCGUGGCUAGUUAACAAGUGUCUAGCCAGACUGCCGGUUUCAAACCGGAGGAAGGUGGGGAUGACGUCAAGUCAGCAUGGUCUUUAUGUCCAGGGCGACACACACGCUACAAUGGCCGGUACAAUGGGUGGCCCCCUCGCGAGAGGUAGCUAAUCCCCAAAGCCGGUCUCAGUUCAGAUUGCAGUCUGCAACUCGACUGCAUGAAGGCGGAGUUGCUAGUAACCGCGCGUCAGCCAUAGUGCGGUGAAUGCGUUCCCGGGCCUUGUACACACCGCCCGUCACAUCAUGGGAGUGGGCAACACCUGAAGUCGGUGCCCAAACCGCAAGGAAGGAACUGCCUAAGGUGGGGUCGGUGACUGGGAUGAAGUCGUAACAAGGU
This 1460-nucleotide ribosomal RNA is filed under the name uncultured bacterium. RNAcentral describes it as "bacterial SSU rRNA". It matches the Rfam family "Bacterial small subunit ribosomal RNA". The record is from RNAcentral.